RNAcentral lists this ribosomal RNA (537 nucleotides) under Pristimantis batrachites. RNAcentral's name for it is "partial small subunit ribosomal RNA". The record is from RNAcentral. Lineage: Eukaryota; Metazoa; Chordata; Amphibia; Anura; Strabomantidae.
GCCCAARACAUCUAGCCUCGCCACACCCAUAAGGGCCUUCAGCAGUGAUUAACAUUAAAAAUAAACGUCAGUUCGAUUUAGUUAAUGAAAAAARAGCCGGCUAAUCUGGUGCCAGCCGCCGCGGUUACACCAAAUGACUCAAAUUGAAAUACUCGGCGUAAAGUGUGAUUUAARAAAACAGUUUCUGAGGUUAAACUUGAACUAAGCUGUAAUACGCCKGUUCUUAAAAAAACCACACCGAAAGAUGCCUCAACCCACCAACUUGAAUUCACGACACCCGGGGCACAAACUAGGAUUAGAUACCCUACUAUGCCCGGCUAUAAACUUUAACUUACCCCCCCAUCGCCGGGGAACUACAAGCAAAGCUWAAAACCCAAAGGACUUGACGGUACCCCACAUCCCCCUAGAGGAGCCUGUCCUAUAACCGAUACCCCCCGUUCAACCCUACCAUUCUAAGUUUCUCAGCCKGUAUACUUCCGUCCCCAGCUCACCGCAGGAGCGAAACUAAGUGAGCUAAAUGUUUACCACCAAUACUCA